AGAGAGAGAGAGAGAGAGAGAGAGAAAUGGUGCCAAGUUUUGGGAGAGGCAAGUAAAAUAAAGCAAAUGGCAGAGAAGAAAAUGAAAGAGGAGAAAGGUAAAUAUUUUUCCCCCUUAAAAAGUUUUCAAUAUGUCUGUCUUCUGUGUGUUUUGUUGUGGCAGUGCCCAGUCUUUUAGACAUCACCGUGAUAACUCCAUAUGGUACUCAAGUUGUCCUCAAGGGGAGUGAAUAUAGAAACAUGUCACCUUACAAACUAUUCUUUAUCUCGUGAAGUUAAAGGAUAAAAAUUGAAUGAUAAGUAGAGAUUGUUGCUUUGAGGCCUCGUUUGCUCAGAGUUGUUGAA
Hevea brasiliensis (rubber tree) is the source of this 344-nucleotide long non-coding RNA. RefSeq lists it as uncharacterized. The transcript is spliced from 3 exons. NCBI's taxonomy places the organism in Eukaryota, Viridiplantae, Streptophyta, Magnoliopsida, Malpighiales, Euphorbiaceae. The record is from RefSeq and is a predicted model, not a curated record.